CGCCGUUGGCGUGGAUGUAAUGCUUCAAGAAUUUAGAGUGAAGGAUGGGAAAGAGUUGCCUUUAUCUAAAGUUGCAGCUCCUGUAUAGGUACUGGCAUGUGUUUACAGAGGCCAAAAAGAGGACGACUCAAGAGGAUGUCAAUAAGAUAGAGCUUCAGAGGAUUGUCACUGACAAGCAUAGGUUGAUUACUGAACUGCAGGGGGUAUUGAAGAGAAGGAGGGGGGAAGGAUGCAGAGGGGUGCACUUAUGAGGCGGAUGUAGAUAUGCCGUCUAUUGAGUUUGAGAGUGUCAGCAGCCUGACAGUACCUUAGGAGCAUGUGGAUGCAUAGCCUACUGAGAUAGUUAUGGGCUCUCAUCUCCCAUACAGUCCUUUAUCUCACUACUUUCAAGUACUCCUACUUCCACAAGAAAGCCUAAAAAGAAGUCAAUCUGUAGAAGGGAUGAUGUGCUGAGUAUGCUAUUGGACAUAUGGAAGGUUUCUAAUAAAGCUACACGAGACUUCAUACCUCAUUCGUUAGUUGAAGUCAAGUAGAUAUUUGUGCCUAUAUACUCAUCAGUACACUGGUACUUGCUUAUUAUGAAGGGUGCAGAGGGCUCGUUUCCCAUCCUUAGUCAAGUAGAUAUUUGUGGCCCAUAAUUACGGAUGCUCUGUGCUGGAGUUGCAUGUCAGAUAUGCUGCAUAAAUGAUCAUGAAGGGUCAUGAAGGGGAAUCAUCAUCCUAGUUUGUUCCAUUAUACUCUAUAUUCAGUUUUGUGAGUAGAUGUAUAUUUGCUCCACUCUUUAUUUAUGUACAUUUAUAAAUAUUUGUAUUCUAUCAAAA
Molecule: long non-coding RNA, 821 nt
Organism: Elaeis guineensis (African oil palm)
Lineage: Eukaryota; Viridiplantae; Streptophyta; Magnoliopsida; Arecales; Arecaceae
Source: RefSeq, a predicted model, not a curated record